UUCCGGUUGAUCCUGCCGGAGGCCACUGCUAUCGGGGUCCGACUAAGCCAUGCGAGUCAUGGGGCUCCCUUUUGGGAGCACCGGCGAACGGCUCAGUAACACGUGGCUAACCUACCCUCGGGUGGGGGAUAACCUCGGGAAACUGAGGCUAAUCCCCCAUAGGGGAGGAGGUCUGGAAUGAUCCCUCCCCGAAAGGCGUAAGCCGCCCGAGGAUGGGGCUGCGGCGGAUUAGGUAGUUGGUGGGGUAAUGGCCCACCAAGCCUACGAUCCGUACGGGCCCUGAGAGGGGGAGCCCGGAGAUGGACACUGAGACACGGGUCCAGGCCCUACGGGCCGCAGCAGGCGCGAAACCUCCGCAAUGCGCGAAAGCGCGACGGGGGGACCCCGAGUGCCCUGCCUCUGGCAGGGCUUUUCCGGAGUGUAAACAGCUCCGGGAAUAAGGGCUGGGCAAGCCCGGUGCCAGCAGCCGCGGUAAUACCGGCGGCCCAAGUGGUGGCCACUGUUAUUGGGCCUAAAGCGUCCGUAGCCGGCCCGGUAAGUCUCUGCUUAAAUCCCGCGGCUUAACCGCGGGGCUGGCAGAGAUACUGCCGGGCUUGGGACCGGGAGAGGCCGGGGGUACCCCAGGGGUAGCGGUGAAAUGCGUUGAUCCCUGGGGGACCACCUGUGGCGAAGGCGCCCGGCUGGAACGGGUCCGACGGUGAGGGACGAAGGCCGGGGGAGCAAACCGGAUUAGAUACCCGGGUAGUCCCGGCUGUAAACUCUGCGGACUAGGUGUCGCGUGCCCUUCGGGGGCACGCGGUGCCGAAGGGAAGCCGUUAAGUCCGCCGCCUGGGGAGUACGGUCGCAAGACUGAAACCUAAAGGAAUUGGCGGGGGAGCACUACAACGGGUGGAGCCUGCGGUUUAAUUGGAUUCAACGCCGGG
This 923-nucleotide ribosomal RNA is filed under the name uncultured Methanococcales archaeon. Its description in RNAcentral is "bacterial SSU rRNA". It matches the Rfam family "Archaeal small subunit ribosomal RNA", at positions 1 to 922 of the family's 1478-position model. The record is from RNAcentral. Lineage: Archaea; Methanobacteriati; Methanobacteriota; Methanococci; Methanococcales.